RNAcentral lists this ribosomal RNA (1236 nucleotides) under metagenome. Its description in RNAcentral is "bacterial LSU rRNA". It matches the Rfam family "Bacterial large subunit ribosomal RNA", at positions 1564 to 2808 of the family's 2925-position model. The record is from RNAcentral.
CGAAUACGAGACGCUACGGCGUCGAAGUAGUGUAUGUCAUGCUUCCAAGAAAAGCUUGCACUGUCAUAAAUAAAAGAUGCCUGUACCAUAACCGACACAGGUGGGUAGGUAGAGUAUACUAAGGGGCGCGAGAUAACUCUCUCUAAGGAACUCGGCAAAAUAACUCCGUAACUUCGGGAGAAGGAGUGCCUUAUUUAAUAAGGUUGCAAUAACAAGAUCCAAGCAACUGUUUACCAAAAACACAGGUCUCCGCUAAGUCGUAAGACGAUGUAUGGGGGCUGACGCCUGCCCAGUGCCAGAAGGUUAAAGAAGUUGGUUAGCAUCUGCGAAGCUGAUAACUGAAGCCCUGGUGAACGGCGGCCGUAACGAUAACGGUCCUAAGGUAGCGAAAUUCCUUGUCGGGUAAGUUCCGACCCGCACGAAAGGCGUAAUGAUUUGGAUACUGUCUCGGAGAGGGGCUCGGUGAAAUAGACUUGUCUGUGAAGAUGCGGACUACCUGCACCUGGACAGAAAGACCCUAUGAAGCUUUACUGUAACUUGAAAUUGAAAUUGGACUUUAUUCGCGCAGUAUAGGUGGGAGGCGUUGAAAAUACUCUUGCGGGAGUAUUGGAGCUAUCAGUGAGAUACCACUCUUAUAAUGUUAGAUUUCUAACUUUGAACCAUUAUCUGGUCAAAGAACAGUUUCAGGCGGGCAGUUUGACUGGGGCGGUCGCCUCCCAAACGGUAACGGAGGCGUACAAAGGUUUCCUCUGAACGGAUAGAAAUCGUAUCUAGAGUAUAAAGGCAUAAGGAAGCUUGACUGUGAGACCUACAAGUCGAGCAGGGACGAAAGUCGGUCUUAGUGAUCUGACGGUACUGAGUGGAAAGGCCGUCACUCAACGGAUAAAAGUUACUCUAAGGAUAACAGGCUGAUCUCCCCCAAGAGUUCACAUCGACGGGGAGGUUUGGCACCUCGAUGUCGGCUCAUCGCAUCCUGGGGCGGUAGUACGUCCCAAGGGUUGGGCUGUUCGCCCAUGAAAGCGGUACGCGAGCUGGGUUCAGAACGUCGUGAGACAGUUCGGUCCAUAUCCGGUGUAGGCGUUAGAAUAUUGAGAGGAGCCUUCUCUAGUACGAGAGGACCGAGAAGGACAUACCUCUGGUGUACCAGUUAUCGUGCCAACGGUAAACGCUGGGUAGCUAUGUAUGGAGUGGAUAACCGCUGAAAGCAUCUAAGUGGGAAGCCCACCUCAAGAUAAG